GGGCUGGUAGUUCAGUCUGGUAUGAACGUUCGAUUCGCAAUCGAAAGGUCGCGGGUUCAAAUCCCGCCCAGUCCACCA
RNAcentral lists this transfer RNA (78 nucleotides) under Thermoproteota archaeon. Its description in RNAcentral is "tRNA-Ala". It matches the Rfam family "tRNA". Rfam says of the family: Transfer RNA (tRNA) molecules are approximately 80 nucleotides in length. Their secondary structure includes four short double-helical elements and three loops (D, anti-codon, and T loops). Further hydrogen bonds mediate the characteristic L-shaped molecular structure. tRNAs have two regions of fundamental functional importance: the anti-codon, which is responsible for specific mRNA codon recognition, and the 3' end, to which the tRNAs corresponding amino acid is attached (by aminoacyl-tRNA synthetases). tRNAs cope with the degeneracy of the genetic code in two manners: having more than one tRNA (with a specific anti-codon) for a particular amino acid; and 'wobble' base-pairing, i.e. permitting non-standard base-pairing at the 3rd anti-codon position. The record is from RNAcentral. RNAcentral also lists the same sequence under 1 other name. Lineage: Archaea; Thermoproteati; Thermoproteota.